RNAcentral lists this long non-coding RNA (221 nucleotides) under Nicotiana benthamiana. RNAcentral's name for it is "long non-coding RNA (NBEN_LNC006603)". Lineage: Eukaryota; Viridiplantae; Streptophyta; Magnoliopsida; Solanales; Solanaceae. The record is from RNAcentral.
UAAAACUUGCACAUUGGUUCAACACGUGUUAAAAUCAGAUAAAUAAGCCGAACAUGACAAUUGAGUGACCGUGCUAGAACCACAAAACUCGGGAUUGCUAACACUUUCUCCUAGAUUAACAGAAUUCCUUAUCCGGAUUUUUGGUGCGCAGACUGUAAUACAUAGUCAUUCGUUUCCUCGAUUCGGGAUUCAACUGGUGACUUGGGACACCAUAAAUCUCC